This is a non-coding RNA of Odobenus rosmarus divergens (Pacific walrus), 388 nucleotides long. NCBI's taxonomy places the organism in Eukaryota, Metazoa, Chordata, Mammalia, Carnivora, Odobenidae. The record is from the annotation of a RefSeq genome assembly.
AUGGAGUUUGCACUUGGCUGGGUUUUCCUUGUUGCUCUUUUAAAAGGUGUCCAGUGUGAGGUGCAGCCUGUGGAGUCUGGGGGAGACCUGGUGAAGUCUGGGGGGUCGCUGAGACUCUCCUGUGCAGCCUCUGGAUUCACCUUCAGCAGCUACUACAUGUACUGGUUCCGCCAGGCUCCAGGGAAGGGGCUGCAGUGGGUCGCAUAUAUUAGCAGUAUUAGCAGUGAUGGAAGUAGCACAGGCUAUGCAGACUCUGUGAAGGGCCGAUUCACCAUCUCCAGAGACAACGGCAAGAACACGCUUUAUCUGCAGAUGAACAGCCUGAGAGCCGAGGACACGGCCGUGUAUUACUGUGCCCAGGAGCAGAUGCAGCUGGAUGAUAUGGCAG